UAGGGAAUAUUGCGCAAUGGAGGAAACUCUGACGCAGCGACGCCGCGUGGGUGAUGAAGGCUUUCGGGUCGUAAAGCCCUGUCGAGUGGGACGAAAGACGAUGUGGCUAAUAUCCACGUCGAGUGACGGUACCACUAAAGGAAGCACCGGCUAACUACGUGCCAGCAGCCGCGGUAAUACGUAGGGUGCAAGCGUUGCUCGGAAUCAUUGGGCGUAAAGAGCGUGUAGGUGGCUAGAUAAGUCGGGUGUGAAAUCCCUUGGCUCAACCAAGGAAGUGCAUUCGAAACUAUCUAGCUCGAGGAUGGCAGAGGAAGGUGGAAUUCCUAGUGUAGAGGUGAAAUUCGUAGAUAUUAGGAGGAAUACCGGUGGCGAAGGCGGCCUUCUGGACCAUUCCUGACACUGAGACGCGAAAGCGUGGGUAGCAAACAGG
Molecule: ribosomal RNA, 430 nt
Filed under: uncultured bacterium
Lineage: Bacteria
Description: bacterial SSU rRNA
Rfam family: Bacterial small subunit ribosomal RNA
Source: RNAcentral